GGGACGGUGUCCAAUUCCCUUUUUUCGGAAUUCAAGAAUCGAUUCCGAUUCCGAUUUUUUCGGAAUUUUCGGAAAAUCGGAAUUUUUCAGAAUUUUCAGACUUUUUUGAGAAAAAAAAAUAGUCCUUCACUCCCACCGACACAGUAGCAGAAGAUUACGGGCGGGCGCUGGUGGUGGUCGUGGAGAGCACGGGCGGCGCUGGUGGUGGUCGUCGAUCGGAGAAUACGGGCGGCGCUGGUGGUGGUCGUCGGAGAACACGGGCGCCGGUGGUGGAAAAAAAGAGAAAGCAGAGUUGGGGGAGGCUGAAGAAAGACGAGGAGAGAGAUAGGGGGCCAAUUAGGGUUUCAAAUAAUUAUAAUACUUUUCACUUUUG
Molecule: long non-coding RNA, 373 nt
Filed under: Erythranthe guttata (spotted monkey flower)
Lineage: Eukaryota; Viridiplantae; Streptophyta; Magnoliopsida; Lamiales; Phrymaceae
Description: long non-coding RNA (EGUT_LNC002499)
Source: RNAcentral